Molecule: ribosomal RNA, 544 nt
Filed under: Leptopelis aubryi (Gaboon forest treefrog)
Lineage: Eukaryota; Metazoa; Chordata; Amphibia; Anura; Arthroleptidae
Description: partial 16S ribosomal RNA
Rfam family: Bacterial large subunit ribosomal RNA
Source: RNAcentral
CGCCUCUUGACCACUAUAAGAGGUCUAGCCUGCCCAGUGACCAAUUUAACGGCCGCGGUACCCUAACCGUGCGAAGGUAGCAUAAUCACUUGUUUCCUAAAUAGAGACUAGCAUCAACGGCAUCACGAAGACUAUACUGUCUUCCCCCUAAAAUCAAUGAAACUAAUCCCCUCGUGAAGAAGCGAGGAUAAAAAUAUAAGACGAGAAGACCCCAUGGAGCUUUAAACGAACUUUAAUUGCUCUUAAUCUUACCAUAAAAAACGAGCACUAAUAAAAGAUAGUUUUCGGUUGGGGUGACCACGGAGUAAAACAAAACCUCCACAGUGAAUGUAAUAAUACUAAUACAAGAACUACAAUUCUAAUAAUCAAAAAAUUGACACACUUGACCCAAACACUUGAUCAAUGAACCAAGUUACCCUGGGGAUAACAGCGCAAUCCAUUUUAAGAGCCCCUAUCGACAAAUGGGUUUACGACCUCGAUGUUGGAUCAGGGUAUCCUAGUGGUGCAGCCGCUACUAAUGGUUCGUUUGUUCAACGAUUAAAAC